Molecule: ribosomal RNA, 301 nt
Filed under: uncultured bacterium
Lineage: Bacteria
Description: partial 16S ribosomal RNA
Rfam family: Bacterial small subunit ribosomal RNA
Source: RNAcentral
CAGUCGCCACGGUAAUACGUAGGGUGCGAGCGUUAAUCGGAAUUACUGGGCGUAAAGCGUGCGCAGGCGGUUAUAUAAGACAGAUGUGAAAUCCCCGGGCUCAACCUGGGACCUGCAUUUGUGACUGUAUAGCUAGAGUACGGUAGAGGGGGAUGGAAUUCCGCGUGUAGCAGUGAAAUGCGUAGAUAUGCGGAGGAACACCGAUGGCGAAGGCAAUCCCCUGGACCUGUACUGACGCUCAUGCACGAAAGCGUGGGGAGCAAACAGGAUUAGAUACCCCCGUAGUCCCUGUCUCUUAUAC